Mya arenaria is the source of this 183-nucleotide long non-coding RNA. RefSeq lists it as uncharacterized. NCBI's taxonomy places the organism in Eukaryota, Metazoa, Mollusca, Bivalvia, Myida, Myidae. The transcript has 3 exons. The record is from RefSeq and is a predicted model, not a curated record.
ACAUCAAGAGCAACAACCACUUCAACGACACAUGCGGAAAGUACACUAUGUCCGGCUUUUUGGUCCAGGAGAGAUAACUCUUGUUAUUACUUCAGCCCCGUAACGCAGAGCUGGGGCGCAGCUAAGACACACUGCAACUCCCGUGGGGCUGAUCUCGUUAAAAUUGAUGACAAGGCGGAACAG